Long non-coding RNA from Syngnathoides biaculeatus (alligator pipefish), 1065 nucleotides. RefSeq lists it as uncharacterized. The transcript is spliced from 3 exons. NCBI's taxonomy places the organism in Eukaryota, Metazoa, Chordata, Actinopteri, Syngnathiformes, Syngnathidae. The record is from RefSeq and is a predicted model, not a curated record.
AAUGCGGUCAGGAUACAGCUGAAGAUGUUAUGAUGCGAUCGCUUCAAGAUCACCUGCUCUUUGGCACAGAAGCCGCAGAUCAUCCGGCUGGCGAGCUCCAUGGGAUGGUCCUGGUCCUCAUCGUGGCACACGUCGCAAGGAGCUCUCCUGGGAACAGCUGAGGCAGCCCACAAUGAUGUGACAGUCUUGAAGCACCAAGUCAGAGGGAACCGCGUUUUGGAGGUCCAGCCGCAAGGAUACACGAGUGGAAAAGAUAAGAGUGAGACCGGGGGAAUAUAUGUGCCAAGGACGUGACUUUUACCAGUCUGGCCCUGUUAGCGCUGCGCUAGCGUGUUACUGCCGUGUCUCAGUGAUUUUUACCGUUUUUUUUUUUUUUUUAAACUGGCCCUGUUAGCCCGGCGCUAGCGCUAGUGCAGGGGUCACCAAAGUGGUGUUCGCGGGCGAAUGGUAGCCCGCAAGGACCAUUUCAGGCCCCCGCGAGGUAUGUUCUAAAAAUACCAUAGGCCACAAAUUGUUACUAUUAUUUGUGCUUUAAAUUUUGAAUCUGACUUGCUUACGUGAAUUAAAAUUUUAAAAUACCUGUAAUGUCAUUUACUACAAUAAAUUAAAACAAAAAUAUUUUAUGUACGUCUAAUGAACUGAGUAUGAAAUUUGCUGCAAACAGGUCAGGUAGCCCUUUAUACGAUCGGUGCUCACGAAGUAGCCCUCAGCCUCAAAGAGGUUGCUGAUCCCAGCGUUAGUGUGAGCGCGGUGGCGCUUGCCUUAGGGUUAAGCACGGCAGCGCUCGUGUUAAACUCUCUGUGUACCGUCUUUGUAAAUAUCUCGUGUUUCAAUGUCGGUUUCAAUGUUGGCACUUGCGGUUUUUACACACCUGCGCCGUAUGUAUGUACCAAUUGUUAUUUCCUUUGCAAAUGUACUGGGUGAGGCGCGCUCGCUGAUUUAAGAUGGAAACAUUGUUUUACGAGAUGGUAGAGGUCUCUCCACUCAGUCUUGUUUUUGUUACAACUUGGACUGGAUUUUAUUAUAUCAUUUAGCUGUUUGUAAUGAAUGAAAUGAAAAAAUGAU